AGAAGGCUGGGAGUGUCCACAAGA
RNAcentral lists this non-coding RNA (24 nucleotides) under Cricetulus griseus (Chinese hamster). Lineage: Eukaryota; Metazoa; Chordata; Mammalia; Rodentia; Cricetidae. The record is from RNAcentral.